RNAcentral lists this transfer RNA (41 nucleotides) under Brookesia sp. Betampona. RNAcentral's name for it is "partial tRNA-Leu". Lineage: Eukaryota; Metazoa; Chordata; Lepidosauria; Squamata; Chamaeleonidae. The record is from RNAcentral.
ACUUUUAAAGGAAAAUAGUUAUCCACUGGCCCUAGGAACCA